GCCAGGGAAUUACGAGCCCAAGCUUAAAACCCAAAGGACUUGACGGUUUUCCAUCCCCCUAGAGGAGCCUGUUCUAUAAUCGAUUUUCCCCGAUUAACCUCACCAUCUCUUGAAUUUACAGCCUGUAUACCUCCGUCGCAAGCUUACCCUGUGAGCGCAUAUUAGUGAGCUUAAAGAUUCUACACCCAUACGUCAGGUCAAGGUGCAGCCCACGAGAUGGAAAGAAAUGGGCUACAGUUUCUUCUUCAGAACAAACGAAAGAUUAUAUGAAAUAUAAUCUGAAGGCGGAUUUAGUAGUAAAAGGAAAAUAGAGAGUUCCUUUUAACCGGGCACUGGAAUGCGUACACACCGCCCGUCACCCUCUUCAAACAAUAAACAACGUCAUUAACACUAUAUACCCUUAUAGAAGAGGCAAGUCGUAACAUGGUAAGCGUACUGGAAAGUGUGCUUGGAAUAACAAAAUAUAACUUAACAAAAGUAUCUUGUUACACCAAGAAUAUGUCUGUAAAAAUCUGACUAUUUUGAGCUUAAAACCUAGCCCACAUAUACUUAAUGAAAUAUCUAAAUCAACAAAAUAAACUAAAACAUUUUCUUUACUUAGUAAAGGCGAUCAAAAAGUACCUAGGAG
This 628-nucleotide ribosomal RNA is filed under the name Hylophorbus picoides. Its description in RNAcentral is "partial 12S ribosomal RNA". The stretch from base 1 to 464 matches the Rfam family "Bacterial small subunit ribosomal RNA", at positions 871 to 1533 of the family's 1533-position model. Lineage: Eukaryota; Metazoa; Chordata; Amphibia; Anura; Microhylidae. The record is from RNAcentral.